GGCUCAGAUUGAACGCUGGCGGCAGGCCUAACACAUGCAAGUCGAGCGGAAACGAGUUAUCUGAACCUUCGGGGGACGAUAACGGCGUCGAGCGGCGGACGGGUGAGUAAUGCCUAGGAAAUUGCCCUGAUGUGGGGGAUAACCAUUGGAAACGAUGGCUAAUACCGCAUGAUGCCUACGGGCCAAAGAGGGGGACCUUCGGGCCUCUCGCGUCAGGAUAUGCCUAGGUGGGAUUAGCUAGUUGGUGAGGUAAGGGCUCACCAAGGCGACGAUCCCUAGCUGGUCUGAGAGGAUGAUCAGCCACACUGGAACUGAGACACGGUCCAGACUCCUACGGGAGGCAGCAGUGGGGAAUAUUGCACAAUGGGCGCAAGCCUGAUGCAGCCAUGCCGCGUGUGUGAAGAAGGCCUUCGGGUUGUAAAGCACUUUCAGUCGUGAGGAAGGUGGUGUAGUUAAUAGCUGCAUUAUUUGACGUUAGCGACAGAAGAAGCACCGGCUAACUCCGUGCCAGCAGCCGCGGUAAUACGGAGGGUGCGAGCGUUAAUCGGAAUUACUGGGCGUAAAGCGCAUGCAGGUGGUUUGUUAAGUCAGAUGUGAAAGCCCGGGGCUCAACCUCGGAAUAGCAUUUGAAACUGGCAGACUAGAGUACUGUAGAGGGGGGUAGAAUUUUCAGGUGUAGCGGUGAAAUGCGUAGAGAUCUGAAGGAAUACCGGUGGCGAAGGCGGCCCCCUGGACAGAUACUGACACUCAGAUGCGAAAGCGUGGGGAGCAAACAGGAUUAGAUACCCUGGUAGUCCACGCCGUAAACGAUGUCUACUUGGAGGUUGUGGCUUGAGCCGUGGCUUUCGGAGCUAACGCGUUAAGUAGACCGCCUGGGGAGUACGGUCGCAAGAUUAAAACUCAAAUGAAUUGACGGGGGCCCGCACAAGCGGUGGAGCAUGUGGUNUAAUUCGAUGCAACGCGAAGAACCUUACCUACUCUUGACAUCCAGAGAACUUUCCAGAGAUGGAUUGGUGCCUUCGGGAACUCUGAGACAGGUGCUGCAUGGCUGUCGUCAGCUCGUGUUGUGAAAUGUUGGGUUAAGUCCCGCAACGAGCGCAACCCUUAUCCUUGUUUGCCAGCGAGUAAUGUCGGGAACUCCAGGGAGACUGCCGGUGAUAAACCGGAGGAAGGUGGGGACGACGUCAAGUCAUCAUGGCCCUUACGAGUAGGGCUACACACGUGCUACAAUGGCGCAUACAGAGGGCGGCCAACUUGCGAAAGUGAGCGAAUCCCAAAAAGUGCGUCGUAG
RNAcentral lists this ribosomal RNA (1291 nucleotides) under Vibrio sp. RNAcentral describes it as "bacterial SSU rRNA". It matches the Rfam family "Bacterial small subunit ribosomal RNA", at positions 21 to 1291 of the family's 1533-position model. Lineage: Bacteria; Pseudomonadati; Pseudomonadota; Gammaproteobacteria; Vibrionales; Vibrionaceae. The record is from RNAcentral.